AUGAGGUUCCCUGCUCAGCUCCUGGGGCUGCUGAUGCUCUGGAUCCCUGGAUCCAGUGGGGAUGUUGUGAUGACCCAGACUCCCCUCUCCCUGCCUGUCACCCCUGGAGAGCCGGCCUCCAUCUCCUGCACGGCUAGUCAGAGCCUCCUACAUAGUGAUGGAAAUACCUAUUUGAGUUGGUACCUGCAGAAACCAGGCCAGUCUCCACAGCUCCUGAUCUAUAAGGUUUCCAACAGGUUUUCUGGGGUCUCAGAUAGGUUCACUGGUAGUGGAUCAGGGACAGAUUUCACACUUAAAAUCAGCAGGGUGGAGGCUGAGGAUGUUGGAGUAUAUUACUGCAUGCAAGGUUCACAGGUUCCAUGA
Molecule: non-coding RNA, 363 nt
Organism: Galeopterus variegatus (Sunda flying lemur)
Lineage: Eukaryota; Metazoa; Chordata; Mammalia; Dermoptera; Cynocephalidae
Source: the annotation of a RefSeq genome assembly